AAAUUGAAGAGUUUGAUCAUGGCUCAGAUUGAACGCUGGCGGCAGGCCUAACACAUGCAAGUCGAGCGGUAACAUUUCUAGCUUGCUAGAAGAUGACGAGCGGCGGACGGGUGAGUACAACUUGGGAAUCUGCCUGAUGGAGGGGGACAACCACUGGAAACGGUGGCUAAUACCGCAUAAUUUCCCUUCUGUAACAAGAGGGGAGCAAAGAGGGGGAUCUUCGGACCUCUCGCCAUCAGAUGAGCCCAAGCAAGAUUAGGUAGUUGGUGGGGUAAUGGCCUACCAAGCCGACGAUCUUUAGCUGGUCUGAGAGGAUGAUCAGCCACAC
RNAcentral lists this ribosomal RNA (328 nucleotides) under Aliidiomarina haloalkalitolerans. RNAcentral describes it as "Bacterial small subunit ribosomal RNA". It matches the Rfam family "Bacterial small subunit ribosomal RNA", at positions 1 to 313 of the family's 1533-position model. Lineage: Bacteria; Pseudomonadati; Pseudomonadota; Gammaproteobacteria; Alteromonadales; Idiomarinaceae. The record is from Rfam by way of RNAcentral.